GCCUACGAACGCCAGUUGGGGGCGAGGCGUCUCGGAGACUGAGAGACACCAAGGCCUCAGCGACAAAGUGGCUGCAGCUAGGCCGGGGGCGUCAGGACGACGGAGCGGGUUCGGGUCGGUGACACGCAGACCUGAGGGAGCUGGGCCCGCCUUUUCCGCCCGCGCCCCAGGCCCUUGCAGAUCGAGAUUUGCGUCCUAGAGUGGGGAAAAAAGCAGAGGCCAGGGCGCCGAUUUUAUUUGGAGAGAAGCAAGCAUCUCUGCCUCUUUGGAGGAGGAAAUUCAGACUUGAAAAAGUGGUGUACGGUUGACUCUGUUUCUCGCCAUGUCUUCUCACAAGACUUUCACCAUUAAGCGAUUCCUGGCCAAGAAACAAAAGCAAAAUCGUCCCAUCCCCCAGUGGAUUCAGAUGAAACCUGGUAAUAAAAUCAGGCACAACUCCAAAAGGAGGCAUUGGAGAAGAACCAAGCUGGGUCUGUAAGGAAUUGCACAUGAGAUGGCACACAUAUUUAUGCUGUAUCAAGGUCACGAUCAUCUUAACGAUAUCAAGCUGAAAAUGUCACCACUAUCUGGACAGUUGCACAUGUUUUACUGGGAAUAUUUUUUUCUGUUUUUCUGUAUGCUCUGUGCUAGUAGGGUGGAUUCAGUAAUAAAUAUGUGAAAGCUUUUGUU
Molecule: long non-coding RNA, 669 nt
Filed under: Pongo abelii (Sumatran orangutan)
Lineage: Eukaryota; Metazoa; Chordata; Mammalia; Primates; Hominidae
Description: lncRNA (ENSPPYG00000036407.1)
Source: RNAcentral